AUUCAACUGACGAGUCCCCAGUGGGAAGAAACACGCGUCCUGAAU
RNAcentral lists this non-coding RNA (45 nucleotides) under Schistosoma curassoni. The record is from RNAcentral. Lineage: Eukaryota; Metazoa; Platyhelminthes; Trematoda; Strigeidida; Schistosomatidae.